GAUGAACGCUAGCGGGAGGCUUAACACAUGCAAGUCGAGGGGCAGCAUAGGGUAGCAAUACUCUGAUGGCGACCGGCAAACGGGUGAGUAACGCGUAUGCAACCUACCCUGUACAGGGGGAUAACCCGGAGAAAUUCGGACUAAUAUCCCGUAAUAAUAUCCGGAGGCAUCUUUGGAUAUUUAAAGUUCCGACGGUACGGGAUGGGCAUGCGUAACAUUAACUGGUUGGUAAGGUAACGGCUUACCAAGGCUAUGAUGUUUAGGGGUCCUGAGAGGGUGGUCCCCCACACUGGUACUGAGACACGGACCAGACUCCUACGGGAGGCAGCAGUGAGGAAUAUUGGUCAAUGGGCGCAAGCCUGAACCAGCCAUCCCGCGUGCAGGAAGACGGCCCUAUGGGUUGUAAACUGCUUUUCCAGGGAGAGAAACUUACGCACGUGUUGCGUGACUGACGGUACCUGGGAAUAAGCAUCGGCUAACUCCGUGCCAGCAGCCGCGGUAAAACGUCUA
RNAcentral lists this ribosomal RNA (510 nucleotides) under uncultured bacterium. RNAcentral describes it as "bacterial SSU rRNA". It matches the Rfam family "Bacterial small subunit ribosomal RNA", at positions 28 to 531 of the family's 1533-position model. The record is from RNAcentral.